Pipra filicauda (Wire-tailed manakin) is the source of this 2104-nucleotide long non-coding RNA. RefSeq lists it as uncharacterized. The transcript is spliced from 6 exons. NCBI's taxonomy places the organism in Eukaryota, Metazoa, Chordata, Aves, Passeriformes, Pipridae. The record is from RefSeq and is a predicted model, not a curated record.
GGUGUCCCUGCCUGUGGCAGGGGGUGGGAUUAGAUGAGCUUUAGUGUCCCUUCCAACCCAAAGCAUUCCAUGAUUCAUUUUAUGAACCCUGCUUUCGCUCCUGGCUCCCUGCAGAGUGAGAUUUCCUCUCUUUUGGAAGGGUCAAGAUUUCAAGUCAAGGCCCUCAAUUCACUGACCUCUGUUUUGUCCAUCCAGCAGAAUUCCAGGCCGUGUGGUGGGGAGAUGAUUCGAGCUGUGGUUUUGGGAUGACAGCAGUGCCAAGGGGACGAAUGAUCUUUCUGUCAGUGCAGUGGAGGCCACUGUGCACUAUUGAUUUAUUUUUAUUUUUUUUUUGUUUGCUUAGCAGAAGACUCCAUUCAAAGCAGUGUUAAAAUACUCUUUAAAUAUUAAUGCUUUUUCCCACUGCUUUCCCUCUCUGCCCCCAUCUCUUGUUUUGCCUGUGCUGCUGGACAGCUGGAGGAUAUUCCCACCAAAUGAUUAGCAGGUCCAGGAUGGUGCAUAAAACACUCAGCAGUGCCCCUUUACCAGGCAAGCAACUUGACAUUUAUUGCUAGUGCUGAAAGCAUCUACAAACAGAGAUUUAGCAUCAGCCUCCAGGCUUAAGAUACAGCUGUUAUAUUUUCCUUUCUCCCUUUAUCUUUUUUUUUCCCUCUCCUUUUGCACUAAUGUAAUGCUUAUUUAGGAACUGCAGCCAUCUGUGGCUGCUGUGGAUGGCACUGUUAAAGUUGCUAUUGCUUUCUUUCCCCUGGUUUGAUGAGCCUCCCAGUGCACAGAGAAUUUCCCAGGACAGCAGAGACUUUCUUUGAUUGCUUUAUUUGUAUAAUUUUUUUUUUUUAUAACCGUUGAAAGAGAUGGUUCACAGUGCUGGGAAAAGGUGGUCAGCUGGAGAGCUAAGGAUCCUGCCUUGUGCUGGGUUAACAAGGUGAGUUUAUGAAGAACCAGCCAUAAAAAAACUUGGUGGAAUUAGAAGGGAUCAUGAAUAAAAAGGGAGGGAAGGAGGAAGGGCUGGGACUGGAGCUCUUCCUGUUCCUCCCACCAGCUCCUGGUUGAUGGUGAGAUGGAUCACGUGGGAAUUGGGGCAGUUGCAGCAAUCCAGGGAAUUUUUUUAGUGUUUUUUUUCCAGUGAAAUGAUCCUGUGCCCCUGGAUGGACAGGGAGCUGUCCCAAGCUGGAAAUCACGGCACAACAAGGACAAGGUGUGGCACUGCCAGCAGGAACUCAGAUAUUUCUGUUGGAGAGGCAGAAGUUGAUUCCUUCUUGUUUUGUCACCAAGUUGCUUUCAAAUGGCUCAUGUUCACCCUGGCGAGGAAAGCAGGGUAGGAAAUGCCUUCUCUGAAAGGCUGGACUGGCACUACUGGGGUGGAGAGCUGCAGCCUUUAGCAGAGUAAGCAGAUACCAGACUAUGAGGAUUCUUCUCCAUGGAGGAUUUCCAAGGCACCAGCCUCUGAAAUGCUCCUGGCUGCUGCUCUUCUUGGAGAGGAGUCAGUCCCUUGUCACCAGGGAGACAUCUGCCAACCUGAGCCCACAGAGGGAGGCUGAGGCAUUUAUGUCCUGGGGACCCUCCACUGCUGUCCUGCAUAUCCUCUGGGAUGGAACACAUGGUCCACGGCCUGGGAACAUCUGAGCAGACCCUCUGAGGAGGUUGGACUUGGUGACUUCGGUGUCCUGUGCUAACCCAGGAUCCUCCUGCUCCCACCAAAGCACCAGCAGCAGCGUUGCAGUGACCAGAGAGCAUCACAUCUGCAUUCACCUCUGCUCAGAGGACUUGGCUCGCUCCAUUUGACCUGCUGUGCCAUGUCCUCAGGCUUCCAGGAGGCUUCAAGGAGACUCUUUUCCCAAGGUAGUGGAACAGUGUCCAUGUGGAAACUCACUUUGCCCAUGGAAGUGCCCGAAGGCUUUCCAGGUGUGUUCACGUGGGAACAUUGACAUUUGGGAGCCAGGUAUGAUGGUGUGAUGUUCCAACAUGAAAAUGUUAUCAAGGAAAUUUGUUCCAGCAACUUUCCCCGGCAGGUUUUCUCAAGGUUCUUCCUCUUCUCUCCCAUUCUCCUGCAAAUGUCCUACACCACGUUUUCCAUUAAUUAUUAAAAAAAAAAUAAAUUACAAAA